UUCCUACGGGACGCAGCAGUGGGGGAUAUUGCACAAUGGGGGAAACCCUGAUGCAGCGACGCCGCGUGAGUGAAGAAGUAUUUCGGUACGUAAAGCUCUAUCAGCAGGGAAGAAUAAUGACGGUACCUGACUAAGAAGCCCCGGCUAACUACGUGCCAGCAGCCGCGGUAAUACGUAGGGGGCAAGCGUUAUCCGGAUUUAUUGGGUUUAAAGGGUGCGUAGGCGGUCCGUUAAGUCAGCGGUAAAAUUGCGGGGCUCAACCCCGUCGAGCCGUUGAAACUGGCAGACUUGAGUUGGCGAGAAGU
This 305-nucleotide ribosomal RNA is filed under the name uncultured bacterium. Its description in RNAcentral is "bacterial SSU rRNA". It matches the Rfam family "Bacterial small subunit ribosomal RNA", at positions 336 to 658 of the family's 1533-position model. The record is from RNAcentral.